RNAcentral lists this small nucleolar RNA (126 nucleotides) under Carlito syrichta (Philippine tarsier). RNAcentral's name for it is "Small nucleolar RNA SNORA31 (ENSTSYG00000034444.1)". It matches the Rfam family "Small nucleolar RNA SNORA31". Rfam says of the family: ACA31 (SNORA31) belongs to the H/ACA class of snoRNAs which are thought to guide the sites of modification of uridines to pseudouridines. ACA31 is predicted to guide the pseudouridylation of U3713 in 28S rRNA and U218 in 18S rRNA. This family includes the mouse homologue snoMBI-161. The record is from Rfam by way of RNAcentral. Lineage: Eukaryota; Metazoa; Chordata; Mammalia; Primates; Tarsiidae.
CUGCAUCCACUGGUAGACCUUGAACAAAUGUUGUUCUUUUGGUUUGCACUAGGAUGCAGAAGAAAGAAAUUCCUGCGUUUUCUGUUUGUCUUUGUAGCAGCUCAGAUUGAAUUGGGAAAUACGUUU